This is a long non-coding RNA of Sorghum bicolor (sorghum), 1990 nucleotides long. RefSeq lists it as uncharacterized. Lineage: Eukaryota; Viridiplantae; Streptophyta; Magnoliopsida; Poales; Poaceae. The record is from RefSeq and is a predicted model, not a curated record. The transcript has 5 exons.
UCCUAACCCUAUCUUAUCUUAUCUUUCUGCUUCCACUUGCUACGCGCCACCACCGGCCGCCCCUUCGCGCAGCCAUGGACAACGCCCCAUCCACGCCGCCACCCUUGCUUCCUCCCUAUCCACGGCAUGCGGUCCAACUGUGUCGGUGCCCUAGCCCUAUGGGGCGCACCUCCACCUGCAGCAGCUCCACCUACCGGCGGCCCGGCGCCCAGAUCCAGAUGAGAGGACGUCGACGCUGCGUAUUCGUAGGCGAGGCACAGGCGGAGGGAGAGGUAGUGGUUCGCUUCCCGUCCCGACCCUGCACUGCCACAGCUCGGGUACGUCUCAUCCCACCAUCGCCCCCCACCCUAGAGGCGAGUUCUGCAGGCCUACAACCGUGCUGCAACCCUGGCCGGGGCUGAGCUUGUCCGUCCAAGCCAUGCUUUCGCCUCCAGGUCUGCACAUCUUGAGCUCCUCUAGAACGCCAGUGCUCCCAUCUGAAGUGCUAGCUGCUGAUUGGGAGGAGAGCAGCUUGGAUUUUUCAGAAGCAGAUCUAGUGCUUAGCUUGUGACUGGGACGGUAGGCCAAAGUGGCGUAGGAUGGAUUUCACAAGGUAAUGCUUGUAUUAUCUCCACAAGCAAAUUCAGAGCUGUGGGCACCUUGCAAACUCAUCCUUUUGCUGCUUCAUUUCAAGUUUAGACCAACUUCUGUAGAGAACUUUUAGCACAGUUAACUAGAAGUCAUAUUGAGGUGUCAUUCAUUUGGAGUUCUCAUUUAGACUUUUGUGUAGUAUUCAUUUUUUCAUUCUAAUGCCACUCUUUUGUGCAGUAUUCUUUUUUUUUAUUCUAAUGCCAUUGUGCAGUAUUUUUUUAUUCUAAUGCCAAUAACUUGAUGGAUGGAUCUGAACUGUAUGUAUAAAUCAUACAGCUGAGGUUGUAAUUAAGAAUGAGGUCUGCUGCUGUAUAUUAUUUUUUUUACAUUCUGUAGUUGGUUUCCUGACGGCAUAACCGUCAGGAUUUGGCCAAUAUUUUAGUCCAGGGCUAUUCUUAGGUUGGCCGUCAAGAACUGCCGUCAGGAAAAAAUUCCUGACGGUCAACCGCCAAGAAAAAGUGAUCUUUCCUGUCGAGUCGUUCCUGUCGGUUCAUUCCUGACGGCUGGCCGACAGGAAUAUGUUUUCCGACGGUUUUACUGCUUUUCCUGACGGUUUCUAGCCGACAGGAAUUUCCGCUGCUCUGGUAGUGGAAAACCGUCUGUGUUAAUGCUCUAUUUGCACAGGCGGUUCAAUUAUGUGAACCGCCUGUGUUAAUAGAUUUAUACAGGCAGUUCACAUAACUGAACCGAUUGUGCAAAUGGAGUAUUAACACAGGCGGUUUUCUUAUGUGAACCGUUUGUAUUAAUCGAUCUACACAGACAGUUCCUUAAGCAAACCGCCUAUGCUAUUCUUUCUAUAAAUAACCCACAACCCCCUUCUUCCUCCUCGGACAAAACUGUAGCUCGCAGCCACCUUCCAUUGGAGCACAUCUUGGAGGUCCAGUUUUUCCAAAAUACAAGGGGGAGGUUUUGAUCUUCAUUUAUUGGAAGGAGGUGGCUAAGAAAGUGUCACAAGCAACCACUCGGAUUGGUCCACUGUGGAUUCUACGUCUGUGAGUUCAUGAGAGAGGGCGGAAGAUAUAUUACUAACCCUUAUAAGCAAAAAGACUUUGAAAAGGCGAAGAGCAUGAGUGAAGCCACUUUAUACAACAUAGUUGAGGACCUCUGUAAAUUCAUGUUGAGAGAAGUCAUUCCCAGCGAAGGGAAAUAUCAUGAUCGGACCAGCACCCUAGCAAAGCCUGAAUACGGAGCACUAAGGGUGAUUAGUAGGCUAAAGCUAACUCGAUCCGGUUAUUAGAGCAGAGGUUUUUCAGAGGUGAAACCUCUGAUGCAUGUAACAGAAAAAACUUGAUGUGUGAUCAUGUUUGUAAUUAAUGUAGUAUAUAUAUAAAUGAAUUGCAUGUUGCAAUGGUUGACAUGA